GGUUGAACAUAAUUCCCUAAAUCAGGUAUUUGUUUUUCCUGGAGCUUGAAUAUAAUCCUGUAACUAGAUGUUACAAAACCACUUUAAUUACCAAGGAAAGCAAGUCUCUUUAGCUGUUCUCUACCUCAGUGGUCUUCAUUUAGUUAAAUUUGAUCAUCAGUACUAAUUCUGUUUUUCAUAGGGAUAAGCUCGCUCUGGAUUUUUCAAGAUCUGGCCUGUUUCAUAGAUCAGUUGACAUUUCACAAAUCAUAAUGCUGGAUGCCUGUAUUUAGUUGUGUUCACCCACAUUUACUACACAAAUGGAGUACAGUGAUUUAUGCAGAGGUGAGGGGAAACUUUGUUAAUAGCUAAAUUCCCUAA
Molecule: long non-coding RNA, 360 nt
Filed under: Bos taurus (domestic cattle)
Lineage: Eukaryota; Metazoa; Chordata; Mammalia; Artiodactyla; Bovidae
Description: long non-coding RNA NONBTAT006206
Source: RNAcentral